CGCGUAGGCGGCUUGGUAAGUAGGGGGUGAAAUCUUGCGGCUCAACUGCAGGGCUGCCUCCUAAACUGCCUGGCUGGAGCACGGUAGAGGCAGAUGGAAUUCCCGGUGUAGCGGUGGAAUGCGUAGAGAUCGGGAAGAACAUCGGUGGCGAAGGCGGUCUGCUGGGCCGUUGCUGACGCUGAGGCGCGACAGCGUGGGGAGCAAACAGGAUUAGAUACCCUGGUAGUCCACGCCGUAAACGAUGGGUACUAGGCGUCGGGGGGAGCGACCCCUUCGGUGCCGUCGCUAACGCAGUAAGUACCCCGCCUGGGGAGUACGGCCGCAAGGCUGAA
This 332-nucleotide ribosomal RNA is filed under the name uncultured Gemmatimonas sp. Its description in RNAcentral is "bacterial SSU rRNA". It matches the Rfam family "Bacterial small subunit ribosomal RNA", at positions 568 to 898 of the family's 1533-position model. The record is from RNAcentral. Lineage: Bacteria; Pseudomonadati; Gemmatimonadota; Gemmatimonadia; Gemmatimonadales; Gemmatimonadaceae.